UUCUUUAAGACAAUAAAUUAAAGUAAAACCUGCUCAAUGAAGUUAAUAAAUAGCCGCAGUCCAACUGUGCUAAGGUAGCAUAAUAAUUUGCCUUUUAAUUAAAGGAUAGAAUGAAAGGUUAAACAUCUAAAACCUGUAUCUUUUAAGUUUAAUAAAAUUGAGUUAAAAGUAAAAACUCUUUUAUAUGAAAGUGGGACGACAAGACCCUUAUAAACUUACCAAUUAGUUGGGGAAACAAAAUAAUAAAUAUUUAUUAAAAACAAAUACAUAAAUUUUUAUAAAAUAAAGGAAAGUUACUAAAGGGAUAACAGCGCUAUUUCUUUUAAGAGCCCUUAUCUAAAAAGAAG
This 347-nucleotide ribosomal RNA is filed under the name Pholcus rawiriae. Its description in RNAcentral is "partial 16S ribosomal RNA". Lineage: Eukaryota; Metazoa; Arthropoda; Arachnida; Araneae; Pholcidae. The record is from RNAcentral.